UUAUCUUCUAAGAUGCGAGUUCCACUUACUUAACCUCCCCCUCCAACCAGCCCUCAGUACCACCACUGAAACUACCAGGAUACAUAUCCACCACAAUAAGAAAGUAAAGGAGAAAAACUAGACAUGGGAUCCAACCCAAGAGAGAAGUGAAGUAUUUUCCUAGAACUACGGCAGUGGGAAAUUCCAGGAUGAUGCUUAUGUACCAGCCUAGAGAGCAACUAGUCUGGACUGGAGCAGAAAGAAGGCUUCAGGAGGGAUACCCCAAGACAAGAUCGAAACUGACAGAUUAUCUAGCCUGCAUUACCAUAUUGAGAGGGAUGUAGUUCUAACAGACCAUUUAAGGAAGAAAACCUAACAAACAAAAUAUAAGGCAAUGAUUAGGUCCCAAAAAAUUAAAGUGUGAUAAUAGUAUAUCAUAUAGCUUAAUUACAAAGAAAAUUUACAUCAUCAUGUAAACAUCAAUUAUUCACUUAAUCUAAAUGUUAUCUCAGGGAAGCUGGAACAGGAUAGUGAAGGGCCUCAGGAGAUGUAUAGUGUUCAUGACGAAUCUUAUAAUACUAUGUGACUUUUCAAACUAUGUAUAUGUUUGACUUUGAUAAAAAUUAAGAAAAAAUAUGGCUUUGCAAAAAACAUUCCAUCAUGUAUGAUUUUUCAGUGCUGUCUAAAAUGCCUAUACAAUUAUUGCUCCAACAAGUGACAGAACAACAGUUUUCAACUUUUUUUCCACUGGGAUACACAUGACAAGUGAUAUUUCCAUGUGAUAUAAUCCUAUGGAUGUUCCCAUUGUGCUAAACUUAACAUGAUGUUUCUCUCAUGCUUAAGAAAUUAUACCAGAAUACAAGUGACUAAGAAAGAGUAUUUUAGGAUAAAUUUGAACAGUGUUUAGUGUGUCAAGAGUUUAACAUUCACAAAUAUCCCUACUUCAGCUACUCUUAGUAAGUAGUUGACAUACCUCAGGACUGAUCUCAAUACACUCAUAUAUCAUAAUGUUGAGUUUGAGAACCGCUGGGGUACAACAGGAUUCCCAAAUUCAGAUGCCUACAACAGCCAGGUGUUGGCUAAGCCUCAGCCUUUGCAGUAACUGUGGUGGUAAUUGCUCCGACACCGAAAGGACUUUUGUUUGUCUUUGUCCAGAAUGCAGUGACACCAAGCUGAGAACUGACAUCCACCAAGUGAAUGGGGAAGAAGGGGCAGGCUUGGAGUUGAAGUGGCCCAGUAGAGUUCAAAGAGAUCAUUGGCACUGAAGUUACGAGUGAAGGGUCUUAGUUGUCACAUUUAAGAAGCCAUUUAGGAAAACUUUUAAGCAGCUAAGAACAAAGGCUUUUGGACUUGAAAAACCCCAAUCCAGACACCUUCGUCCUUCCUGGCUGCAGGAUCCUGUGCACGUUGAGCUCUUUGAAUCUGCUCCUGUGUCAGCAGAUUUUAGGAUUCUCUCUUAUAAAGUGGUAAAGGUUCUACCUCCCAAAAUGGAUGCUGUUGGUCAUAUCAUUUCGCAGUGCACACUGCCGCAUCUGUUCAUUCAUCUGAGCAGCGUUUCUAACCUAUGAAUGCAUCAACAGGAACAGAAAAUAAUUCUAGAACACUGAUAUUAAUAACAACAACAAAAAAACCCUGAAAUAAUAAUUGAGAAGUCUGAAAAUAAACCUGCUCUUUUCUCAAGGAACUGCUGGCGGCAAGCUGUAUAAACUACGUAUUUAUCAUUUUAUAUUUGCCUACAGUGACACCUGCUGGAAAACUCCGUUGAAGCCUUAAAAUGAAAAUAAAUUUAAAAUAAAAUAAAAACCAAGCUUUGAAAACAA
Molecule: long non-coding RNA, 1799 nt
Filed under: Equus asinus (donkey)
Lineage: Eukaryota; Metazoa; Chordata; Mammalia; Perissodactyla; Equidae
Description: lncRNA (ENSEASG00005034644.1)
Source: RNAcentral